This 497-nucleotide ribosomal RNA is filed under the name uncultured bacterium. RNAcentral describes it as "partial 16S ribosomal RNA". It matches the Rfam family "Bacterial small subunit ribosomal RNA", at positions 28 to 507 of the family's 1533-position model. The record is from RNAcentral.
GAUGAACGCUGGCGGCGUGCCUAAUACAUGCAAGUCGAGCGAACGGACGAGAAGCUUGCUCCUCUGACGUUAGCGGCGGACGGGUGAGUAACACGUGGAUAACCUACCUAUAAGACUGGGAUAACUUCGGGAAACCGGAGCUAAUACCGGAUAAUAUUUUGAACCGCAUGGUUCAAUAGUGAAAGACGGUCUUGCUGUCACUUAUAGAUGGAUCCGCGCUGCAUUAGCUAGUUGGUAAGGUAACGGCUUACCAAGGCAACGAUGCAUAGCCGACCUGAGAGGGUGGACGGCCCCACUGGAACUGAGAACAGGUCCAGACUCCUAAGGGAGGCAGCCGUAGGGGAACUUCCGGCAUGGGGGGAAGCCUGGCGGAGCAACGGCGCGUGGGUGAAGGAGGUCUUCGGAUCGUAAAACCCUGUUAUUAGGGAAGAAAAUAUGUGUAAGGAACUGAGCCACUUUUGAAGGUACCCAAUCAGGAAGCCAACGGUAAAUACCUU